AAAAUACUCCCUCCGUUCCAAAUUCUAGUCUUGCAUUUGUCUAGAUACGGAUGUAUCUAGUUACGUUUUAGUGUUAGAUACAUCCGUAUCUAGACAAAUCUAAGACAAAAAUUUUGGGACGGAGGGAGUAGAUU
Molecule: non-coding RNA, 134 nt
Organism: Triticum aestivum (bread wheat)
Lineage: Eukaryota; Viridiplantae; Streptophyta; Magnoliopsida; Poales; Poaceae
Source: Rfam